GUCUGUCUGUGAUGAGACUAUGGAACCGACACACAUGAGGAUAUUCUUUUCCAUGUUGCCUUCCUUCUGAGAAUGAA
Betta splendens (Siamese fighting fish) is the source of this 77-nucleotide small nucleolar RNA. Ensembl annotates it as small nucleolar RNA U83B. The record is from Ensembl. NCBI's taxonomy places the organism in Eukaryota, Metazoa, Chordata, Actinopteri, Anabantiformes, Osphronemidae.